RNAcentral lists this ribosomal RNA (468 nucleotides) under uncultured bacterium. RNAcentral's name for it is "partial 16S ribosomal RNA". It matches the Rfam family "Bacterial small subunit ribosomal RNA", at positions 28 to 507 of the family's 1533-position model. The record is from RNAcentral.
GACGAACGCUGGCGGCGUGCUUAACACAUGCAAGUCGAACGGAAAGGCCCUGCUUUUGUGGGGUGCUCGAGUGGCGAACGGGUGAGUAACACGUGAGUAACCUGCCCUUGACUUUGGGAUAACUUCAGGAAACUGGGGCUAAUACCGGAUAGGAGCUCCUGCUGCAUGGGGGGGGUUGGAAAGUUUCGGCGGUUGGGGAUGGACUCGCGGCUUAUCAGCUUGUUGGUGGGGUAGUGGCUUACCAAGGCUUUGACGGGUAGCCGGCCUGAGAGGGUGACCGACCACAUUGGGACUGAGAUACGGCCCAGACUCCUACGGGAGGCAGCAGUGGGGAAUAUUGCACAAUGGGCGGAAGCCUGAUGCAGCAACGCCGCGUGCGGGAUGACGGCCUUCGGGUUGUAAACCGCUUUCGCCUGUGACGAAGCGUGAGUGACGGUAAUGGGUAAAGAAGCACCGGCUAACUACGUG